This 119-nucleotide ribosomal RNA is filed under the name Pteropus alecto (black flying fox). Lineage: Eukaryota; Metazoa; Chordata; Mammalia; Chiroptera; Pteropodidae. The record is from RNAcentral.
GUCUAUGGCCAUGCCACCCUGGACACGCUCGACCUUGACUGAUCUCAGAAGCUAAGCAAGGUCGGGCCUGGUUAGUACUCGCAUGGGAGACCACCUAGGAAGACCAGGUGCUGUAGGUG